CUGAAGCGGAGCUCCACCCACUUGAUUUUCAGUAGAGGAUCACGUCUCUCCGGCGGGUUUUACCUUACAGGUGCUUUACAAUGGCUGGACUCAUAGGUAGAUGUUCUGUUGGCUGCAAAGACCCACAUCUGUCCAUGCACAUUCUCCCACUGUUGGAUAACACAGAUUGGUGGCUUCAUUUUUUAUUUUUGAGGCCAAUGUUCCAGUCACGUUGCUGAAGACAGAACUAGUUUGAAUCAGUUCACCCCAGACUGCUUUGAGAACUCACAUCAGAACACGUCAGGAUUUAUAGAAACACUGAAGAAAUAUUCAGUCCCUACGGAAAUGGAGGUUGGGGGCGUGGCCAGAUACAGCUGAUUUGCAUAAAAGUGACAAAGCCCCAAAACAGCUCAUUCUGGAAGGAGCUUAAAAAAAGGGAACUGAGGAGGACAGACAGCUACGGCUGUGUGUAGCAGGGGACCUGCUUUCCUGCUCUUCUAAUUGGAGAGGUGAAUCUUUGCCCGGGGCACUGUGCCAUCUGUGAGACGGUAAUCCUGCCCAGACUUCUCUGAUUUGUCUCCAACAUGUCACACUGUGCUUCCUGAGAACAUCAGUGUCUUCAGGACUCACCCCAAACUCAUACAUGAACAGUCAAACCAUGAAACAUCUGGCUAGACAAACUGUAAAGUGACAGAGAACGUUGGACACCAGACAAACAGACUGCCAUGUAACUCCAGGAGAACAUAUGGAGGACAGUAGGGACGGUCCGGGUCAGUUCGCUCCGAUUUCAUUCUCAUGUAGUCCCAUUUCAUCCCAAACUACUUCGGUUUCCUGCCAGUAAUCAAACCAUUUCAUACACAUGAAACUACUGCA
Molecule: long non-coding RNA, 852 nt
Organism: Girardinichthys multiradiatus
Lineage: Eukaryota; Metazoa; Chordata; Actinopteri; Cyprinodontiformes; Goodeidae
Exons: 3
Source: RefSeq, a predicted model, not a curated record